This 194-nucleotide ribosomal RNA is filed under the name uncultured bacterium. Its description in RNAcentral is "partial 16S ribosomal RNA". It matches the Rfam family "Bacterial small subunit ribosomal RNA", at positions 338 to 524 of the family's 1533-position model. The record is from RNAcentral.
CCUACGGGAGGCAGCAGUGGGGAAUUUUGGACAAUGGGCGAAAGCCUGAUCCAGCAAUGCCGCGUGCAGGAUGAAGGCCUUCGGGUUGUAAACUGCUUUUGUACGGAACGAAAAGACUCUGGCUAAUACCUGGGGCACAUGACGGUACCGUAAGAAUAAGCACCGGCUAACUACGUGCCAGCAGCCGCGGUAAU